CCUACGGGGGGCUGCAGUGGGGAAUAUUGGGCAAUGGGGGAAACCCUGACCCAGCAACGCCGCGUGAAGGAUGAAGGCUUUCGGGUUGUAAACUUCUUUGAUCAGGGACGAAAAAAAUGACGGUACCUGAAGAACAAGCCACGGCUAACUACGUGCCAGCAGCCGCGGUAAUACGUAGGUGGCAAGCGUUAUCCGGAUUUACUGGGUGUAAAGGGCGUGUAGGCGGGUCUGCAAGUCGGAUGUGAAAUUCCCAGGCUUAACUUGGGCGGGUCAUCCGAAACUGCGGAUCUUGAGUACUGGAGAGGAUAGUGGAAUUCCUAGUGUAGCGGUAAAAUGCGUAGAUAUUAGGAGGAACACCAGUGGCGAAGGCGGCUAUCUGGACAGUAACUGACGCUGAGGCGCGAAAGCGUGGGGAGCAAACAGGAUUAGAUACCCCUGUAGUC
RNAcentral lists this ribosomal RNA (443 nucleotides) under uncultured Saccharofermentans sp. RNAcentral's name for it is "bacterial SSU rRNA". It matches the Rfam family "Bacterial small subunit ribosomal RNA", at positions 338 to 795 of the family's 1533-position model. The record is from RNAcentral. Lineage: Bacteria; Bacillati; Bacillota; Clostridia; Eubacteriales; Oscillospiraceae.